UGGGGAAUUGUUCGCAAUGGGCGCAAGCCUGACGACGCAACGCCGCGUGGAGGAUGAAGAAUUUCGGUUCGUAAACUCCUUUCGACCGAGAUGAACACCUCGCGAUCUAAUACAUCGCGGGGCUGACAGUAUCGAGAGAAGAAGCCCCGGCUAACUCUGUGCCAGCAGCCGCGGUAAUACAGGGGGGGCAAGCGUUGUUCGGAAUUACUGGGCGUAAAGGGUUCGUAGGUGGCCGACUAAGUCAGACGUGAAAUCCCUCAGCUUAACUGGGGAACUGCGUCUGAUACUGGUUGGCUUGAGUGCAGGAGAGGAACGCGGAAUUCCAGGUGUAGCGGUGAAAUGCGUAGAUAUCUGGAGGAACACCGGUGGCGAAGGCGGCGUUCUGGACUGUAACUGACAC
This 400-nucleotide ribosomal RNA is filed under the name uncultured bacterium. Its description in RNAcentral is "bacterial SSU rRNA". It matches the Rfam family "Bacterial small subunit ribosomal RNA", at positions 355 to 746 of the family's 1533-position model. The record is from RNAcentral.